CAUUUUCAGAACUUUGCUAGUGACUGGCCAUAGAUCUGCAGGUGGCUCCAUCCCAGCCAGUGAGACAGAGGGAAUCCAUGCUUUGCCAGCUUGAAGUAGAAUCCCGUCUCACAGAAGCCCAGCUCGGAUUGAGAAUUCAAAGCCAUGGAUGCUAAGGAAACAUGAUGUUUGAAAAGUUCCAUUAAUAUUUCUUCAGUGCUCCUCAGAAAGUCCCACACCCAGGUUUGACUUCAAGACAAGUCAUUUCUGAAUAAAGGCUGCCCUGACACUCCCAAGCACAGCUGGUCACACCUGCCCCACCCCAGUCCACCCUCCAUUCUGACACUUUCAUGAUGUAAUGGCUUUUGUUUAUGACUGUGUGUCCCCAGCUAAAGCAAAUUCUUAAAGGGCAGCUAUGCUGUUUAAUAGACCUAUGGAUUCCAAGCCUGGACAGAAUCUCCUCUCUGUAGCCAAUGCCUGAGAAAAUAAGUUAUUGAAUAUAAACUCAUACUUUUGGGAGCUGCUCCCAGGGAUGACGGUGUCCAAGGAUACAGGCCCCAGGGCUCAGACCGAAGGGAGAAAUACAUAUGUGCCAUGAAGAGAGAGCCCAGGCACUGGAUGUCUCCACUGAAUAAAAAUGAGCAAAGCCAUAAAGCUGCAGGCCAAUAUCAGAGGAAGAAAUCGUGGGUCUUUCUGCAGAGCUAGGUCCCACCCAGUGACCACAAUCCAUUGUUUCUUGCUCUGCUGGCUGCCCCACAAAGCAAAGGGAUGCCAAGCCAGGAGUCCUGGGCCCAGCGUGAGCAGAGCAGGCAGCACAGGGCUAUGUCACACAGAAGGCUCAUGGCCUCUCCUGCGUCUUGUGAGGGUAUCUGUCUGCGUCGUGUCAUAAGACAGGAGGAAACUGACAUCGUAGAAUCUGGGGAUAGGACAUAAAUUAACACCAGACCCUUCGGCAAAUGAUGCUGAAUUCUAAGCAGAAACUUCUCAAAUA
Molecule: long non-coding RNA, 970 nt
Organism: Suricata suricatta (meerkat)
Lineage: Eukaryota; Metazoa; Chordata; Mammalia; Carnivora; Herpestidae
Exons: 2
Source: RefSeq, a predicted model, not a curated record